AGUAAAGUUAGGCAGCGAGCCUUAACGGAGCGAGGGCUGUUAUCACCUCUCCUUAGCCCUUUAAGUGCAGCAGGCUCUUUGGUGUCUCUCGCUGGAUGCCGCUCUGUUAAUUGCGACGGUAAACAGGACACAGCGCUGACCAUCGCCGCCGAACCACAAAACCGCCGGCUUUAGGAAAGGAGCCUGGGCCCAGGGGGAGUCACACACCAAAGAGGCAAUGUGGAACCAGUGCAUCUUUCUGAGGGCUAUUUAUGUUGCAGAGUUGCUGAGAGGGGAAGGACUCAGUGUGAAAGAUGCCAAACCCACUUGAACUCUGCUUGGACCAAGGAUCUAUCUAUUAAGUUUACUUAAAAUAACCUCAGCAAUCUCACUGGAACCCUCUUCUCUGUGCAGGGCUCUAGCCUGCUUUAUUUUCAUGACUCAGCAGAGGAAUUGGUCACUUUGUGUGUUUCUAGGUUCAACCACCAUGUUGCAAACCAUUCCACUGAAGUCACAGUCUCCACUGAAAAACUCUCUCUGCUAGGGUGCCUAUUUCCUCUAUGAAUUUCCUCUGUGACAGUAAAUCUUUACAGGAGAGAUACGAGGAUAACAGAGCCUAAAUGCUUACAGAAAAAACACAAACAUUCUUGGGCAAAAGUGACUCACUCAGUGAGAGAUAAAGGGGCUGGAAUUUUCCUAAGGAAAUGUCUUAUUAACUUUUGUUUUAUGUCCGUAUCUCUGUCAGAAAAAAGCCUGUCAUUCCCUCUUACUUUUUCAAUAACUUCCAAUUCUGUAGAGGAAGAAAAGAUGAAAAUACCCUCCAGUAUUGUCAAAAUACAUGGCUGGGUAAGGAAACAAAGUAUUUCAUCACUCCCACUGAUUAAAAAAAAAAUCAGCAUGAACCUUCAGAAUAUCCACUUAUGAAAGUACUGCUAUGAGGACUCUGCAACAAAUAUACCCACUGUACUUCUAGUACUGUGCACAGAUUUUCAUCCCAAAGUAAGUCUGCUGUUUUGUGAAUGUCUAUAAGAGCACAUUGACAGAAAUCAGCAUAAAAGAAGAAUAAAAUAAUUCUGAUACUGGAAUGAACUGCCCAAAUUUAUGUAACAUUGCAGAAACCUAGAAAAACUGAUACCAUUCAGUAAUCUUAAAUCUGAAACUAGGGGUGCUAAACUAACAUCCCUCUCUUUUUUAAUGCAAAGAGAAGGUAUUUGGGCUUGUUGAAAAAGAUUAGGAUAUCAGAGAGAAAAAGGGAGGUGCAAAUAAAAGUUUGGAAGUAGUGUUGACUGUAGAGAUCCUAUCAGUUUCAUGUACUUCAAGCAAGGCAACUGAUAGCUCAGCUUGAAGAUAACUCCUGAAAGUGUGCCACUUUCAUGCUAUUUCCGAGAGACCUGGUUUGCUGUGGAGCUAUGUAAUUGAAUUUAUUUUUCACUGCUAAUAAAUAUGCUUUACAUUAGUCUUCUUGUGCAACUUUUACAUCCAUAUCUCAAUUACAGGAUUUACUGAGUUGGUAGCAUAUCUUCAGUUUUUGCAACAGCCACAGUGAUGAUCAAAUUUCUCAGGAAUGAUUGUCCACAAUCCUUCAGAGCUUGUAAAACUUUUACAUUUAUCAUAGAGCAAAUAAUCUGGUAAGCAGCCAAGCCUUCAUUUUCCAUCAAAGAAUGCUAGAAAGAAUCCAAUUCCUGGAAUCUGAUGCAAAUGUGUUUUCCGUGAACUGCUGUGUAUCCAUGCACAAUUUAGAAGACAACAUUAGAAAAGUUAUUUAAUGAAUAAAAUAUUGUUGUUUCUCCCCCUCCCUCUACUAGAAUUCUACAUAUCAAGUUUUCCAAGACACAUAUGCUCUUUUUAAUGACUUGAAAUACUUUCCUAAUGAUUAAAUUCUGCUUAGCUCUAGUAGACUCUUCCAGAACUUUUAUAAGCCAACAUAAUGUAUGCAUCUGAUGGUAGGCUAUAAACAUUCAUUUUUAGGUCACUAAAAGUAAAGCUUGGAAAACUGAGCUGUCCAUAACCAACUUUGUUUAACAGCUUGUGAUAUAAUCAUUCCUAAAAUUAUAUCUUGUGACUCAAUAAAGACAUUUGGCAGUAUGUAAGUGCUGUCCAGCUGUCCAAG
This is a long non-coding RNA of Oenanthe melanoleuca, 2089 nucleotides long. RefSeq lists it as uncharacterized. The record is from RefSeq and is a predicted model, not a curated record. The transcript is spliced from 3 exons. Lineage: Eukaryota; Metazoa; Chordata; Aves; Passeriformes; Muscicapidae.